UCAUGCUCUCAUGUAAAAAAAUUAUUCAAGCACAUAUUAUUAAUACGCGAACGUGAUUAAUAAAUAUACAUGUUUUAUUAGUAUAAGAGACAACAAUUUGAGUCGUCGAACACUCAAAUCUAGAGACAUGCAAGAUAGAAGAGCACAAAGAUCAGAUGAAGAAAGGGAACAAAUCAAUGCAGAUGUCCGUUUGAGCAUGGAGCAGUUACGUGCAUCACAAUUGCAAGAGACACGAGAUGACUGGAACCAGCAAAGACAAUUAGAAAGAAGGGAAGCGCACAGAUUCGUAGUCAACAGCCGUAGAGGAAUUGACCGACAACGUCAACAAGUAAAUCGAGCAUUUACAGCACAUUCAUUUCUUCACCUAGCAUUUCACUAUGAGCCUGAUGUUGAAUAUGACGCUCAUUCCAAAGUGGUCAUUGGACGAGGAAUGCCCGCACUGCCAUGCCUUUACAUUAAAAAAUGAGCUGAUUGGGAUAUAUUGCUCAUCAGGAAAGAUUCUUCGCUAUUCUUGCAGUCAAUUCGAAAAUUAAUUUCAUGCUUUCAAAUGACAUCGUUUGGAUCAACGGAAAUAGUUAAUAAUACUGCUGCAAAUGGUCAACAAUUUAAUUCCACAUUCAAAAUCAAAGGCCAAGUUUACCACAAUGGGCGAUUUUCCGUGAUA
RNAcentral lists this small RNA (664 nucleotides) under Drosophila mojavensis. RNAcentral's name for it is "GI26907". The record is from RNAcentral. Lineage: Eukaryota; Metazoa; Arthropoda; Insecta; Diptera; Drosophilidae.